AUGGCUAGCUUAAUGCCGUCGCUUGCGAUGGACCUGCUACAAGAAGAAGGCGGUCACGAGGACAUUCUACCCGAGGACUUCGUCGGCGUCGGCGUCGUGGGAGAUGCAGACGACCCGGAGUUGGCCGCGUUGGUGGCCGGGGCGCUGAAGACGGUGGACACGCUGUCCGACGACGACGACGACGAGCUCAGCUGCCCGAUCUGCUUGGAGGAGGACGACGCCGCGGCGUGGAAGGAGACACCGUGCGGGCACCGGUUCCACAGGCGGUGCGUAGAGAGGUGGCUGCGGGAGAAAGAGAGCUGCCCCAUGUGCCGUCGCGAGGUCGUCACGAUGCCCGCCACCACCGCAGAAUGUGCUGCUGCUUUCCUAGAUUUCUUGGCAUCAUCGCCAACACCUUCCGCUCGCUCGAGCCACGUGCCGUGGACGCCAUCACUGCCGGGCUCUGCACACCUCCCGACACCUCCUGUCUACUACAUCGGCCCAUUGAUCAAGGCGGAGGAGGUGGGCGUGAAACAUGAACGAGAGUGCCUCGCAUGGCUAGACACACAGCCGAUGGCCAGCGUGGUGUUCCUAUGCUUCGGCAGCCGCAGCCUAUUCAGCGCAAAUCAGACCAGAGAGCUGGCCGUUGGCCUGGAGGCGAGUGGCAAAAGGUUCUUGUGGGUUGUGCGGAGCCCGCCCAGGGACAUCGACGACCCUGCGAAGAAGCUGGACAAGUUGCCGGAGCCGGACCUCGACGCUCUCCUCCCCGAGGGCUUCCUAGAGCGGACCAAGGGCACGGGUCUCGUCGUCAAGUCGUGGGCACCGCAGCGUGAUGUGCUGGCGCAUAACGCGAGUGUUCCUGGGGAAAGAGCUGGGCUGGCCGUGGCGGUGGAAGGGUAUGACAAGGAGGUGGUCCAGGCCGACGAAGUGGCGUCCAAGGUGAGGUGGAUGAUGGAGUCUGACGGCGGGAGGGUGCUCCGAGAGCGGACCUUGGCAGCCAUGCGGCUGGGCAAGGAGGCGCUGCUCCCUGGCGGGGAGUCGGUUGUGACCUUGACACAACUGGUGGAGAGCUGGAUGGCUUCACCUUCACAAGGGAGGUGA
This 1080-nucleotide ribosomal RNA is filed under the name Triticum aestivum (bread wheat). RNAcentral describes it as "partial small subunit ribosomal RNA". The record is from RNAcentral. Lineage: Eukaryota; Viridiplantae; Streptophyta; Magnoliopsida; Poales; Poaceae.